This 484-nucleotide ribosomal RNA is filed under the name uncultured bacterium. Its description in RNAcentral is "partial 16S ribosomal RNA". It matches the Rfam family "Bacterial small subunit ribosomal RNA", at positions 30 to 507 of the family's 1533-position model. The record is from RNAcentral.
AUUGAACGCUGGCGGCAGGCCUAACACAUGCAAGUCGAGCGGAUGAAGGGAGCUUGCUCCUGGAUUCAGCGGCGGACGGGUGAGUAAUGCCUAGGAAUCUGCCUGGUAGUGGGGGAUAACGUCCGGAAACGGGCGCUAAUACCGCCUACGUCCUGCGGGAGCAGGUGGGGGAGCUUCGGACCUCACGCUAUCAGAUGAGCCUAGGUCGGAGUAGCUAGUUGGUGGGGUAAGGGCCUACCAAGGCGACGAUCCGUAACUGGUCUGAGAGGAUGAUCAGUCACACUGGAACUGAGACACGGUCCAGACUCCUACGGGAGGCAGCAGUGGGGAAUAUUGGACAGUGGGCGAAAGCCUGAUCCAGCCAUGCCGCGUGUGUGAAGAAGGUCUUCGGAUUGGAAAGCACUUUAAGUGGGGAGGAAGGGCAGUAAGUUAAUACCUUGCUGUUUUGACGGUACCAACAGAAUAAGCACCGGCUAACUUCGUG